This 253-nucleotide ribosomal RNA is filed under the name uncultured bacterium. Its description in RNAcentral is "partial 16S ribosomal RNA". It matches the Rfam family "Bacterial small subunit ribosomal RNA", at positions 524 to 776 of the family's 1533-position model. The record is from RNAcentral.
UACGUAGGGUGCAAGCGUUAAUCGGAAUUACUGGGCGUAAAGCGUGCGCAGGCGGUCUUGUAAGUCUGUCGUGAAAGCCCCGGGCUUAACCUGGGAAUUGCGAUGGAGACUGCAAGGCUUGAAUCUGGCAGAGGGGGGUAGAAUUCCACGUGUAGCAGUGAAAUGCGUAGAGAUGUGGAGGAACACCGAUGGCGAAGGCAGCCCCCUGGGUCAAGACUGACGCUCAUGCACGAAAGCGUGGGGAGCAAACAGG